UACGGAGGGGACAAGCGUUGUUCGGAUUUACUGGGCGUAAAGGGCGCGUAGGCGGGCCGUCAAGUCGGAUGUGAAACCUCUGAGCUUAACUCAGAGCCUGCAUUCGAUACUGUCGGUCUUGAGUACCGGAGAGGAUGAUGGAAUUCCAGGUGUAGCGGUGAAAUGCGUAGAUAUCUGGAAGAACACCAGUAGCGAAGGCGGUCAUCUGGACGGAUACUGACGCUAAAGCGCGAAGGCUUGGGGAGCAAAC
RNAcentral lists this ribosomal RNA (250 nucleotides) under uncultured bacterium. RNAcentral's name for it is "partial 16S ribosomal RNA". It matches the Rfam family "Bacterial small subunit ribosomal RNA", at positions 524 to 773 of the family's 1533-position model. The record is from RNAcentral.